RNAcentral lists this unclassified non-coding RNA (828 nucleotides) under Hevea brasiliensis (rubber tree). The record is from RNAcentral. Lineage: Eukaryota; Viridiplantae; Streptophyta; Magnoliopsida; Malpighiales; Euphorbiaceae.
GGUAUCAAUAAGGGUAGCAAUUGCGGUUAUCACAUUGUUUACUCAGGGACAGUGGCUGGUGCGCGAGAGGCUUUCUUCAAUGGUGUUCCUUCUGUCUCAUUGUCAUAUGAAUGGAUUGCUGGAAAAAGCAAGGAUGAUGAUUUCGUAUUGGCCGCUGAAGCUUGCAUGCCAAUCAUUACAGCUAUAUCAACUGAGAUCAAGAAUAAUACUUAUCCUCAAAAUUGCUUUCUUAACAUAGACGUACCAGCCGAUGUUGCCAAUUGCAAGGGUUAUCGUCUGACGAAGCAAGGCAAGACUAUUUUCAAAAUGGGAUGGAGGCAAGUUGUUUCAGAAGCAGAAGGAGGAAGAAUGUUAUCCACAAUGACAAUGGAUUCAUCAGCUAGUAAAGAGGCAUCUGUGGAAGAGAGCACCUUAAGCACAGAAAAAGAACACCUAAUAUUUAAGAGAGAAGUUAGGGGAAUACACAUGGAUGAAGGUGAUAAUGAUUACUCUUUCCUUCGACAAGGAUAUAUAACUGUUACACCCCUUGGCACCUUAUCUCCUCCACCGAUGGAUGGAGUUGAAUUCUUCGAAGGAUGGCUGCCCGGUGUGCACUAGCGUGUCUCUUCGUCUGCUUAAUAUUUGCUCGGAGGAUGCUGCUAUAACAAGGCAGUUGCAGCUGAUCAGUCCAUACAUUACAUAAGUCUUGCAAAUGCUUUUCAUUCUUAUCUCUAUUGUCCUUCCGCAGUUAAAUGUUUGUUCUUGUACUCCAAAUUUAUGAGACCAUAAUGAACUAGUAGUAAUUUUUCUUCGAUGCCAUUUCUAGUGUAACUGCACUCCCAGAUCAAG